GGUUAAGAGGAUCCGUCAGGCUUCGGCCGAAGCGGUGAAUUCAAGCCCCGGUAAACGGCGGUGGUAACUAUAACCAUCCUAAGGUAGCGAAAUUCCUUGUCGGGUAAGUUCCGACCUGCACGAAUGGCGUAACGACUUCCCCACUGUCUCGACCAGGAGCUCGGCGAAAUUGCAGUACGAGUAAAGAUGCUCGUUAAGCGCAGAAGGACGAAAAGACCCCGGGACCUUUACUAUACCUUGGUAUUGGCAUUCGGUGUGGAUUGUGUAGCAUAGGCGGAAGGCUUCGAAGCCACGGCGCCAGCCGCGGUGGAGCCGCAAGGUGAAAUACCGCUCUGUUCGCAUUGGAUGUCUAACCUCGACCAGUCAUCCUGGUCAGGGACAGUGCCUGGCGGGUAGUUUAACUGGGGCGGUUGCCUCCCAAAGAGUAACGGAGGCGCUCAAAGGUUCCCUCAGCCCGGUUGGCAAUCGGGUGGCGAGUGUAAGUGCACAAGGGAGCUUGACUGCGAGACUGACGGGUCGAGCAGGGACGAAAGUCGGAACUAGUGAUCCGGUGCCGGUGUACGGACGCGGCAUCGCUCAACGGAUAAAAGGUACCCCGGGGAUAACAGGCUGAUCAUUCCCAAGAGUCCAUAUCGACGGGAUGGUUUGGCACCUCGAUGUCGGCUCGUCGCAUCCUGGGGCUGGAGCAGGUCCCAAGGGUUCGGCUGUUCGCCGAUUAAAGCGGCACGCGAGCUGGGUUCAGAACGUCGUGAGACAGUUUGGUCUCUAUCCUCUGCGCUCGUCGGAAUGUUGAGGAGGCCUGCCCAUAGUACGAGAGGACCUGGGUGGACGAACCUCUGGUAUGCCGGUUGUCACGCCAGUGGCACGGCCGGUUGGCUACGUUCGGAAGGGAUAACCGCUGAAAGCAUCUAAGCGGGAAGCCUGCUCCAAGAUAAGCAUUCCAUAGGACUACGGGUCCUUGAAGUCCCCAUGCAGAACACGUGGUUGAUAGGCCGGACGUGGAAGCCCCGCGAGGGGUGGAGCCGACCGGUACUAACGGACGAAAGGCAACACAAC
This 1056-nucleotide ribosomal RNA is filed under the name human gut metagenome. RNAcentral's name for it is "bacterial LSU rRNA". It matches the Rfam family "Bacterial large subunit ribosomal RNA", at positions 1875 to 2925 of the family's 2925-position model. The record is from RNAcentral.